AUUUUUCCAUGAUUAAUCUGGCACUAUUAGAUAAAAAAAAAUAAAUUUAGAACAAAAGUUUACAUAGAAAUAUACUUCUGCAUUCCGACACGACUGCAGAAAAUAUAUAAUAGUCGACUUAUUAAGAUUGUAAAAAAUAUAUUGUAACCAACUCAUUGCGAUAUGCGGAACAUAAUCACUACAACAGAAUUAGGUUAUAGGGACACAUGUUUGGAACACUUUUGAAUAAGUGUCUCAUUUAUACUAAAACUUAAAAAAACAUCUACUAAUGCCUAAAUAUAAAGCUCAAUCCAACUAAAAAUAAAAGAUUACUCUAUUCAACCCACCAUACUCAGUCUAUUUGGCCCGAUUACAAAUAGAAAAGAAAAAAAGAAAAAGAAAAAUCAAUUACCAUCUUUUCUUCUCUCUUUAUUCAAUCCACUGAAAUUCUAGACGAAGAGUCUUUCAUGUUGUCCUCCUUCGCCACCGCAGCCAACGAGAUAGAGUUUCGACGGUUGCUAAAUGUUUAAAUAAGUGUUGGUAAAUUAGCAGCACUUUUUUAGGUUAUAGCGACACUCUUUAACUGUCACUAUAUACCUAGCGACCCCACAUAUAGCAACACUUUUUAAAAAUGUCGGUAAUUUUAGCUAGCAGCACUUUUUUGACAUGUACCUAUAUUUAAAAGUGUCGCUAUAGACCGUUUUUGUUGUAGCGAAUACAAUUUCUCCGCAAUUUCAAACGGAACCUAAUUUGGAUGUUAUAAUGUUUGGAUUGCCGCAUUUCCUUUUUCACAUUAAAAUAUAAAAAAAUUACACAAUUUAGUAAUUGCGUGUCAUCUAGAAAAGAAAAUGGGUUGAAUAUAAAUUAGAUAGUGCUUAAUUAAUAUCCAUGUAUUAUUACUUCAACCUGUAUUUUUUUUUGAAAGAUAGGUAGCACGCUACCCGCUUCGUUUAUUUUAUUUAAAAAUAAACUUAGCUAGAAAUGUGAAUCAAUUAGGAUUCGAAUUUGAGUUUCGGAUACCAACCACCAAGCCCUUUGUCACUUGCUCUAGGGAUGGUCACACUACAAUAAAAACGGUCUAUAGCGACACUUUUAAAUGUAGGUAUAUGUCAAAAAAGUGCUGCUAGCUAAAAUUACCGACACUUUUAAAAAGUGUUGCUAUAUGUGGGGUCGCUAGGUAUAUAGAGACAGUUAAAAAGUGUCGCUAUAACCUAAAAGAGUGCUGCUAAUUUACCAAUACUUAUUUAAGCAUUUAAUAACCGCUGAAACUCUAUCUCGUUGGCUGCGGUGGCGGAGGAGGACGACAGGAAAGGCUCUUCGUCUAGAAUUUCAGUGGAUUGAGUGAAGAGAGAAGAAAAGAUGGUAAUUGAUUUUUCUUUUUUUUUUUCUUUUCUGUUUGUAAUCGGGUCAAAUGAACUGGGUGUGGUGGAUUGAGUAGAGUAAUCUUUUAUUUUUGGUUGGAUUGGACUUUAUAUUUAGGCAUAAGUAGAUGUUUUUUUAAAUUUUAGCAUAAAUGAGACACUUAUUCAAAAGUGUCCCAAACAUGUGUCUCUAUAAUCUAAUUCUGUUGUAGUGUCAGUCACUUCAACCUGUAUUAAACAUGCAACUCCUGCCCUAUAAACAGGCCGAGUCUCUAAAUGCAGUCUUAUUUUGGAAAGAAAAUGGACUGGAUAUAAAUUAUGUAGCAUCUAAUGCAUAUUCAUAUAUAUAUAUAUAUAUAUAUAUAUAUAUAGAGAGAGAGAGAGAGAGAGAGAGAGAGAGAGAUAAGCUAGAAUACUUUCAAAAACACCAAAUUGGUGGUGUUUUUGAGUUUUUAGCUUGAUGAAGAAAUAUAAGAUUGGGAUGAUGAUGGCAGAUGAUGGUAGGUGAAAUAGUGUUUGAUCCAAAGAUAUUAAUAAUAAAAAAGUAGAUCCAAUGGCUAAAAAUUUAAAAGCACCAAUGAGUUGAUGCUUCUAAAAGAAUUAUAGCUCAAUUCUAUAUAUAAUAUAUAUACAUUAUU
This 1978-nucleotide long non-coding RNA is filed under the name Ananas comosus (pineapple). RNAcentral's name for it is "long non-coding RNA (ACOM_LNC014037)". The record is from RNAcentral. Lineage: Eukaryota; Viridiplantae; Streptophyta; Magnoliopsida; Poales; Bromeliaceae.